UGUAAGAUGACAAGUAUGGAAACAUACCUUCUUCGGACAGCUUACAAGGUGCUGCAUGGUUGUCGUCAGCUCGUGCCGUGAGGUGUUAGGUUAAGUCCUUUAACGAGCGCAACCCUUAUCAUUAGUUGCCAACGAGUUAAGUCGGGGACUCUAAUGAGACUGCCAGUGUAAACUGUGAGGAAGGUGGGGAUGACGUCAAAUCAUCACGGCCCUUACGACCUGGGCCACACACGUGCUACAAUGGUCGGUACAGAGGGGGAGCUACUACGCAAGUAGAUGCAAAUCUUUAAAGCCGAUCUCAGUUCGGAUUGGAGUCUGCAAUUCGACUCUAUGAAGUUGGAAUCGCUAGUAAUCGCAAAUCAGACACGUUGCGGUGAAUACGUUCCCGGGCCUUGUACACACCGCCCGUCAAGCCAUGGAAGUUUGGAAUACCUGAAGUCGGUAAAUGUAAAAAAGCUGCCUAAGGUAAAACAAGUAACUAGGGCUAAGUCGUAACAAGGUAGGCGUAGUGCU
This 513-nucleotide ribosomal RNA is filed under the name uncultured bacterium. RNAcentral describes it as "bacterial SSU rRNA". It matches the Rfam family "Bacterial small subunit ribosomal RNA", at positions 986 to 1509 of the family's 1533-position model. The record is from RNAcentral.